GACGAACGCUGGCGGCGUGCUUAACACAUGCAAGUCGAACGGAAAGGCCCUGCUUUUGUGGGGUGCUCGAGUGGCGAACGGGUGAGUAACACGUGAGUAACCUGCCCUUGACUUUGGGAUAACUUCAGGAAACUGGGGCUAAUACCGGAUAGGAGCUCCUGCUGCAUGGUGGGGGUUGGAAAGUUUCGGCGGUUGGGGAUGGACUCGCGGCUUAUCAGCUUGUUGGUGGGGUAGUGGCUUACCAGGGCUUUGACGGGUAGCCGGCCUGAGAGGGUGACCGGCCACAUGGGGACGGAGAUACGGCCCAGACUCCUACGGGAGGCAGCGGUGGGGAAUAUUGCACAAUGGGCGGAAGCCGGAUGCAGCAACGCCGCGUGCGGGAUGACGGCCUUCGGGUUGUAAACCGCUUUCGCCUGUGACGAAGCGUGAGUGACGGUAAUGGGUAAAGAAGCACCGGCUAACUACGU
This 467-nucleotide ribosomal RNA is filed under the name uncultured bacterium. RNAcentral's name for it is "partial 16S ribosomal RNA". It matches the Rfam family "Bacterial small subunit ribosomal RNA", at positions 28 to 506 of the family's 1533-position model. The record is from RNAcentral.